Molecule: ribosomal RNA, 297 nt
Filed under: Litoditis marina
Lineage: Eukaryota; Metazoa; Nematoda; Chromadorea; Rhabditida; Rhabditidae
Description: partial 28S ribosomal RNA
Rfam family: Eukaryotic large subunit ribosomal RNA
Source: RNAcentral
GACCGAGGAUGUAACUUGUACGCGAGUCAAAGGGUUGUAAACCCCACGGCGCAAUGAAAGUAAAGGCCGGUUAACCGGUUGACAUAGGAUCCGUUCUUUGAGCGGCGCACUAUGGCCCUGUCUUGUCUGCUUGCAGAUGGGCAGAGGAAGAGCGUACAGGUUGCGACCCGAAAGAUGGUGAACUAUGCCUGAGCAGGACGAAGCCAGAGGAAACUCUGGUGGAAGUCCGUAUCGGUUCUGACGUGCAAAUCGAUCGAUAGACUUGGGUAUAGGGGCGAAAGACUAAUCGAACCAUCU